CCUACGGGAGGCAGCAGUGGGGAAUAUUGCACAAUGGGGGGAACCCUGAUGCAGCGACGCCGCGUGAAGGAUGAAGUAUUUCGGUACGUAAACUUCUAUCAGCAGGGAAGAAAAUGACGGUACCUGACUAAGAAGCCCCGGCUAACUACGUGCCAGCAGCCGCGGUAAUACGUAGGGGGCAAGCGUUAUCCGGAUUUACUGGGUGUAAAGGGAGCGUAGACGGGCCAGCAAGUCUGAUGUGAAAACCCGGGGCCCAACCCCGGGAGUGCAUUGGAAACUGCGGGCCUGGAGUGCCGGAGAGGUAAGCGGAAUUCCUAGUGUAGCGGUGAAAUGCGUAGAUAUUAGGAGGAACACCAGUGGCGAAGGCGGCUUACUGGACGGUAACUGACGUUGAGGCUCGAAAGCGUGGGGAGCAAACAGGAUUAGAUACCCUUGUAGUC
This 440-nucleotide ribosomal RNA is filed under the name uncultured bacterium. RNAcentral's name for it is "partial 16S ribosomal RNA". It matches the Rfam family "Bacterial small subunit ribosomal RNA", at positions 338 to 795 of the family's 1533-position model. The record is from RNAcentral.